RNAcentral lists this ribosomal RNA (519 nucleotides) under uncultured Ambispora. RNAcentral describes it as "SSU rRNA". It matches the Rfam family "Eukaryotic small subunit ribosomal RNA", at positions 569 to 1089 of the family's 1831-position model. Lineage: Eukaryota; Fungi; Glomeromycota; Glomeromycetes; Archaeosporales; Ambisporaceae. The record is from RNAcentral.
AGCAGCCGCGGUAAUUCCAGCUCCAAUAGCGUAUAUUAAAGUUGUUGCAGUUAAAAAGCUCGUAGUUGAAUUUUGGGUCUGGCCGGGCGGUCCGCCCUCCGGGUGAGCACUGUUCCGACGCCGGGCCUAUCCUUCUGGUGAGUCGGCAUGUCCUUUGUUGGGUGUGUCGGGGAACCAGGACCAUUACCUUGAAAAAAUUAGAGUGUUCAAAGCAGGCGCAUGCUCGGAUACAUUAGCAUGGAAUAAUGAAAUAGGACGCGUGGGGCUAUUUUGUUGGUUUCUAGAACCGCCGUAAUGAUUAAUAGGGAUAGUUGGGGGCAUUAGUAUUCAAUUGUCAGAGGUGAAAUUCUUGGAUUUAUUGAAGACUAACUUCUGCGAAAGCAUUUGCCAAGGAUGUUUUCAUUAAUCAAGAACGAAAGUUAGGGGAUCGAAGACGAUCAGAUACCGUCGUAGUCUUAACCAUAAACUAUGCCGACUAGGAAUCGGGCGAUGUUAUUCUCAUGACUCGCCCGGCGCCUU